AUUACUAACUGAUUCAAGUAUUAUUUGUCAUUCUAGCCUUGCAGCUUCAUUGGAGGAAGUGAAUCUCAUGGACAUUUUUCUCUAAUAAAUGAGGCAUGUUCAAUGUUUGCUCAUACCAAUCCCCUGCAUUUGGAUGUAUUCAAGAGUGUUGCAUGCUUUGAGGCAGAAGUGGUUGCAAUGACAGCUGCACUUCUUGGAAGUAAGGAAAAGAAUUCUGGAGGACAAAUAUGUGGCAACAUGACACCAAGCGGGACUGAGUAUAUUAUUAGCUAUCAAGUCAUGUCGUGACUAAAUGAAAUCUGAGAAAGGAAUUACAAGACCUGAGAUUAUAUAUUUCCAAUGAAUAGCUGGUUCAAAUAAUGGAGAAACUAGCCUCUGGGAACUCAGUUUGCGAGAAAAGUUGGUUUCAGAGCCAUUCAAGAUAUGGGAUGUGGUUGCAUGCUCAUUACCAUUUCAGGCUGCUGCAUGAGCCCUGAUGGAAGUUUUGUGGUUCAUCAUAUCUUCCUUUCUCUUUCAUUGAAUCAAAGGAAGAACUACUAUUACUGGGGAACCAUAUUGAAAAAGAAGUGAGAGAGGAGAAGCAAGUGCCAUAGAAGAAGAAGCUGAAUAGUGAGAUUAAAGAUGGAAAGAAGUGUAUUUUACUAUGUAAUAUUUCUCCUAAUGUGUCAUUUCCUCUGUUCAGGUUACUCUACAAGUUGGUGCAAGUUGGUGUAUUGCAAGUCCAGCUGCUUCGCAGACUACUCUACAAGUUGCAUUGGACUAUGCUUGUGGCUUUGGUGGUGCUGAUUGCUCAGCAAUUCAACCUGGUGGAAGCUGUUACAACCCAAAUUCCAUCAGGAACCAUGCUUCUUAUGCCUUUAAUAAGUAUUAUCAAAAUAAUCAUUAGCACUGUUGUCAUCAUUAGCACUAACCCAAGUAAGGCCUUUGCUGUCAUCCUUCAAUUCUUUUUUCUUUUUUUUUUGAAUUUGAGUCCAUUAUUUUAGUUGUGGCAUUUUAAUUUAUUUUUUUACUUAACAUAAUAUUUAAUAGAAAUAUUAACAUGUCACUCUAAGACAUUCAGACAUUAAUAUUAUCAUAUUGACAUAACAUUCUAUUAUUAUACUAUCAUGCACAUAGUAUUUUUAUCAAAUAUUAUUUGCUAAGUUAUCAAAUAAACUAAUGCAUAAUUAAAAUAAUAGAGGAAAAAUUCACAAAAACAAAAAAUAUAUAGAAAGCAUAUAUAGAAAAGCUUUGAAGAGAGAACAGUGUAGAGAAAGCAUAUAUAGAAAAGCCCAAGGCCUUUUUGAAGUUUAAUAUACUUUUCUUAGAGCAGAAAACUAAGAACCAGUGCAAAAAAUUUAAAUAAGUAUUUAUAAAUUAAAAUUAAUUCAUAGAGAAGUUAAUUAAAGAAGUUUUUUCAAAAAAACUGAAGUGCAUAAAAAAUGUUAUUUUCUUAAUUUACUGAAAUGAUUAAACAAGUCAUAUUAAAAAAGAAGUCAUAUUAUUUUUUGACUAGUAAAAAAUAAAAAAUAAAACAAGUCAUAAAUAUAGUUAUGAUUUUGUAAAAGAAAAUAAUUAAGAUAUAUAAAAAUACAAGUCGUGUUUACAUAAAUUUUUGAUUUUUCAUUCAAUUGUGUUUUCCAGCCACAGCUUACAUGUUUUGGGGGAAAAAAUUCGCAACCUACCAAUUUCGUUAAUUAGUAAAAAGAUUACACCAUUGAAGGAUAAAAAAAAAGCCAGUUGUAUCGUUAUGAUAAACAGGUUAGAAAGCAAUAGUUUUUUUUUCCAACAGCUAAAAAUUAUAAUCAUUAAAAGCAAGGUAGAAGUCACAAGUUAUAGCACCUACCAAGCCAAAAUGUUACAGGAGCAUAUUUAGAGAACAAGGCUCACUUUGUCAACAUAAAGGGCCAUUAGUACAAAUCCUUUCCCCAUCUAGUGUGAUCCAACAAACUUACAGUUCUCACAUUAUUAAAAAAAUAAAAUUAAUUUUAGUUUUGAAUUUCUAUUUAUAUUUUAUUUUUAGUUUUUAAAAACAUGUUUCAAAUUAAAAUAAACAAAACGAGUUAAUCAUUUUAUCUUAUCUUAUUCUAUUAUGAAUGGAGGUGGUAGAGGUAACGGAUGGAAGUGAAGACAAUGACGAUGGUGACAAUAGUGGUGGUGUUGGUGAAAUGGUGGUAGUGGAAUAGUGGCGAUAAUGAUAGU
This is a long non-coding RNA of Glycine soja, 2181 nucleotides long. RefSeq lists it as uncharacterized. The transcript has 6 exons. The record is from RefSeq and is a predicted model, not a curated record. Lineage: Eukaryota; Viridiplantae; Streptophyta; Magnoliopsida; Fabales; Fabaceae.